AUUGAACGCUGGCGGCAUGCUUUACACAUGCAAGUCGAACGGUAACAGGCCUUCGGGUGCUGACGAGUGGCGAACGGGUGAGUAAUGCAUCGGAACGUGCCCAGAGGUGGGGGAUAACGCAGCGAAAGCUGUGCUAAUACCGCAUGUGAUCUGAGGAUGAAAGCGGGGGACCAGGCAGCAAUGUUUGGCCUCGCGCCUUUGGAGCGGCCGAUGUCAGAUUAGGUAGUUGGUGGGGUAAAGGCCUACCAAGCCGACGAUCUGUAGCUGGUCUGAGAGGACGACCAGCCACACUGGGACCGAGACACGGCCCAGACUCCUACGGGAGGCAGCAGUGGGGAAUUUUGGACAAUGGGCGCAAGCCUGAUCCAGCAAUGCCGCGUGCGGGAAGAAGGCCUUCGGGUUGUAAACCGCUUUUGUACGGAACGAAAAGGCUCUGGCUAAUACCUGGGGCUGAUGACGGUACCGUAAGAAUAAGCACCGGCUAACUACGUG
This 492-nucleotide ribosomal RNA is filed under the name uncultured bacterium. RNAcentral's name for it is "partial 16S ribosomal RNA". It matches the Rfam family "Bacterial small subunit ribosomal RNA", at positions 30 to 507 of the family's 1533-position model. The record is from RNAcentral.